AGUGAACGCUGGCGGUAGGCCUAACACAUGCAAGUCGAACGGCAGCACGGGAGAGCUUGCUCUCUGGGGGCGAGUGGCGGACGGGUGAGGAAUACAUCGGAAUCUACUCUGUCGUGGGGGAUAACGUAGGGAAACUUACGCUAAUACCGCAUACGACCUACGGGUGAAAGCAGGGGAUCUUCGGACCUUGCGCGAUUGAAUGAGCCGAUGUCGGAUUAGCUAGUUGGCGGGGUAAAGGCCCACCAAGGCGACGAUCCGUAGCUGGUCUGAGAGGAUGAUCAGCCAAACUGGAACUGAGACACGGUCCAGACUCCUACGGGAGGCAGCAGUGGGGAAUAUUGGACAAUGGGCGCAAGCCUGAUCCAGCCAUACCGCGUGGGUGAAGAAGGCCUUCGGGUUGUAAAGCCCUUUUGUUGGGAAAGAAAUCCAGCUGGCUAAUACCCGGUUGGGAUGACGGUACCCAAAGAAUAAGCACCGGCUAACUUCGUGCCAGCCGCCGCCGUAA
Molecule: ribosomal RNA, 505 nt
Filed under: uncultured bacterium
Lineage: Bacteria
Description: partial 16S ribosomal RNA
Rfam family: Bacterial small subunit ribosomal RNA
Source: RNAcentral